This is a long non-coding RNA of Felis catus (domestic cat), 1866 nucleotides long. RefSeq lists it as uncharacterized. The transcript is spliced from 2 exons. NCBI's taxonomy places the organism in Eukaryota, Metazoa, Chordata, Mammalia, Carnivora, Felidae. The record is from RefSeq and is a predicted model, not a curated record.
UCUACACCAGAUGGCGCUGCUUAGCCUAAUGGAGUAGAUUGUCGUGGGGGCUAUAGGUGUGUACACGCAUGCGCGGCAGGGGUGAAAAUGGCGCACCCGUCCUUUGUAUUCGGCUUCCGUCCACUCCCCACUUGUCUGUGACCAAGCUGUCAGGUUGCCAGGGCAGCACCUCUCUCCUGAGUUUUAUCUCAGAUGCGGCUGUGUUUCCCAACCCCUCACUUCUGAGGAACUGCGGCUUUGACCUGCUCAGACCUUCUGUAGGAGGGCCGCACCCAGGAACGUUCGUGGGACCGUGCUGUCGCCCGUGCCCAGAGCCUGCAGUGGGGUGCCAGCCCGCCCCAGAAAAAGUUCACGCGACAGAGUAGCAGCAGCGUUUCAGGGAUUAUGGAGAGAUCUAAGUUGCACUAAGGUGAAUGCAGUGAACAGACUGAGCAACUGUCUGGACGCGAGCUUCAGACUGUCAAGAGAAGAGGCGGCUCCUCCUGCAACAGCCAGGUGGACUCCACCCCGGGAGCCAGGGCCCCGGCCCGUCUGCUGACCUGGCUCUGGCAGAACUGGCUGGCAGGUCGAUUGGGUCAAAACAGAUAGACACAGCUCUCCAGGCCGGUAAGUGUUUUGAGCAAGUGAGCCCUGUCAGCUGAAGAGAGAAGCAACCAGCUACCUUCAGUGUCAGCAGUAUUUCUGCAGGAAAACAGAGAAAAUUGUGAAGUACCUCUGAAUUUUUUAUAACACCAUCAUAAAGCUCAUCACAGAAUCAUCAAUGUACUUGGCCAUUUUUAAAUAGUGUCGUUCCCGAAGGCUCUGUCUGGCUGAAUUACACUUGAUUUUGAGGCAGACAGGCAGGAGGCCCUGUUCCUCGCUGAGCACACUCCUCCCUUAAGGCCAGCAGAUCCUCCGUGCCACUUUGAAGGACGAGAGCCUUCAGUGGAUGACUGCUGCUCUCUCACCAAUGACGUCCUACACCAAUGUCCUCGCCCACCGUCUCAAACGACGUUGCAGAGAUACCUCAUUGCUGAGCUGCCCUGGCUUUCUGACAAUAUCCGAUUCAGAAGCGGCCACCACUUCCUCAAUCCUUCCUCAAAAUCAUCCAGUACAAACCGACUUUCAACAAAACGUCCCUCUUGACUUUCUCUUACAGAGAUACUCCCAGGGUUCCGUGGGGUGUUUUCCUGGCUUCAGGGAGCUGAAUAAACCAGGGUUUUGGAUCUACGGAUAUUCUCGCCAGUUUCCGGUUGCUAUGCCAUGAUGGUUUCAAUGAGGGCUGUAGUGAGCAAGAAUCAUGUGAGGUGUCUGACUGGUUGGUGCAUGUCUGUCAGUGCUUUUCUUUGGUUAUUGACUAUGUUUUUGACUAUGUUCCACCCCCCCCCCCCAAAAGGUUUCAUCCAUGUAGCAAAUAUUAAUUAUCCACUCUGUGCCAGGUGCUGGGGCUAUAACCAAAACAGUGUAUUUCUGGUCACCGCCAUCAAAACAUCAAGUGGGCCAGGAAGACAAAUAACAACAUGGUCCGAAUUAUGUGAGAGGAAAUACUGGGUGCUGUGAGGACACAUAACAACUGUUUCUGGGAUUUAGAUAUGAAGGCAUAGCUAGCACAUCAGGGCCAUUAAAGAUUAUCUAGUAAGAUCAGAGAGUAAGCCCAAAAUAAUCAAUUUCACCACACUACCCUGCAAAGACCGACUGGGGGAAACCGCUGCCAGAUCAUGAAUUCUAGAGGGCAAAGGUGGGAUUACAUUCCUGGUCUGGAGCACAAUUCUCCCAAGCUUAAAACAUUAGUUUAGGAGAAUCCCUCUGAUUGUAUUUCCUCUUAGAGAAGAACAGUUAAUGUACUUUUCUCUUUGAUAUAAAGCCGAAUUAUAUAUUUAUUUCCAA